CAGUCGCCGCGGUAAUACGUAGGGUCCGAGCGUUGUCCGGAAUUAUUGGGCGUAAAGGGCUCGUAGGCGGUUUGUCGCGUCGGGAGUGAAAACCAGCAGCUUAACUGCUGGCCUGCUUUCGAUCCGGGCAGACUUGAGGCAUUCAGGGGAGAACGGAAUUCCUGGUGUAGCGGUGAAAUGCGCAGAUAUCAGGAGGAACACCGGUGGCGAAGGCGGUUCUCUGGGAAUGUUCUGACGCUGAGGAGCGAAAGUGUGGGGAGCGAACAGGAUUAGAUACCCCCGUAGUCCCUGUCUCUUAUAC
Molecule: ribosomal RNA, 301 nt
Filed under: uncultured bacterium
Lineage: Bacteria
Description: partial 16S ribosomal RNA
Rfam family: Bacterial small subunit ribosomal RNA
Source: RNAcentral